UACGUAGGGUGCGAGCGUUGUCCGGAAUUAUUGGGCGUAAAGGGCUUGUAGGCGGUCUGUCGCGUCUGCUGUGAAAAUCCGGGGCUCAACCCCGGACUUGCAGUGGGUACGGGCAGACUAGAGUGUGGUAGGGGAGACUGGAAUUCCUGGUGUAGCGGUGAAAUGCGCAGAUAUCAGGAGGAACACCGAUGGCGAAGGCAGGUCUCUGGGCCACUACUGACGCUGAGAAGCGAAAGCAUGGGGAGCGAACAGG
This 253-nucleotide ribosomal RNA is filed under the name uncultured bacterium. Its description in RNAcentral is "partial 16S ribosomal RNA". It matches the Rfam family "Bacterial small subunit ribosomal RNA", at positions 524 to 776 of the family's 1533-position model. The record is from RNAcentral.